This 253-nucleotide ribosomal RNA is filed under the name uncultured bacterium. RNAcentral's name for it is "partial 16S ribosomal RNA". It matches the Rfam family "Bacterial small subunit ribosomal RNA", at positions 524 to 776 of the family's 1533-position model. The record is from RNAcentral.
UACGUAGGGUGCGAGCGUUAAUCGGAAUUACUGGGCGUAAAGCGUGCGCAGGCGGUUGGUUAAGUCUGAUGUGAAAGCCCCGGGCUCAACCUGGGAAUGGCAUUGGAAACUGGCUGGCUAGAGUGCGGCAGAGGGGGGUGGAAUUCCGCGUGUAGCAGUGAAAUGCGUAGAGAUGCGGAGGAACACCGAUGGCGAAGGCAGCCCCCUGGGCUGACACUGACGCUCAUGCACGAAAGCGUGGGGAGCAAACAGG